RNAcentral lists this long non-coding RNA (265 nucleotides) under Vigna radiata. Its description in RNAcentral is "long non-coding RNA (VRAD_LNC002154)". The record is from RNAcentral. Lineage: Eukaryota; Viridiplantae; Streptophyta; Magnoliopsida; Fabales; Fabaceae.
UCGUUAGUGAUAUUACUUAGCUUCCUUAAGAUUUAUCGGACUGUCUUUAUGUUUAUUCUGCUCUGCCUGGCAUUCUACGAAAUCUACUGUAUUCUUUGCAACGGGUAUACGCUUAGUUGCCUAGUUGGUGAUUGCAUCUUCGCUUACUUGAUUAAUAUUUAUAGAACCCAGUGGAUGAAAUAGGUGUAUUGCGUUUAGUUCGUGAUUAUGAUAGCAUGGUUAGCCUUCGCUUAGUCGGUUAGCUGUGUUGGAUUAGAGGUUAGAG